This is a ribosomal RNA of Ochotona princeps (American pika), 90 nucleotides long. NCBI's taxonomy places the organism in Eukaryota, Metazoa, Chordata, Mammalia, Lagomorpha, Ochotonidae. The record is from Ensembl.
UCCUCCAUCAAAAACUCUUCCAAUCUCGGAAGCUAAGCCUGGUUAGUACUUGGAUGGGAGAACGCCUGAGAAUACCAGGUGCUGUAGGCU